Gasterosteus aculeatus aculeatus (three-spined stickleback) is the source of this 484-nucleotide long non-coding RNA. The record is from Ensembl. NCBI's taxonomy places the organism in Eukaryota, Metazoa, Chordata, Actinopteri, Perciformes, Gasterosteidae.
GCAGAAUCAAGGAGGACUUCUAGAACAGUAUCGACUGACCUGUAAUAGGAACCCUUUUGUAUCUAACUGGCUUCAGUCUGUUGGGUAACAAACUUUAUUCUUGGUCUGAUGGGGAUGGUGUGCAGCGAAAGUGUAUGUGGCCCUGACUGCAAAAGUACCACUAACUAUUGCCAGCCAGACUUCAAACAUGUGUCGGAACUCCGGCACUCUUCAAUUGCACCCUGGAAUUUUGAUGAGGAUAAGAUAAACGGCCGGGAGCCCGCAAUAAUCCAGUAUGCUCAUUGCAAUAGUUGUAAUGUGAAGGACAUGAUCGCUAAACCUAUCAUCCUCCAGGUUUCGGUCUACCGCCACGUGCGCGUAAACGACACCAGUUACACGUGGUGCAAGUGUCCCUUCAAUUUGGCUGUUGGGUGUACAUGUGUCAGCAAUAAAUGAAAAUGACCACAGGACAUCAGGACAAGUCAUGGCUGCAGCUGCAAUAGUC